CCUGGAACUUGAGCCUGGAGGAGCUCCCUCAACAGCUUCCCUUAAUCGGUCAAAUUGGUCACGUGGGAGAUGGCUGCACUGAAGGGGUUUGCUGGGUGAAUGCCCGGAGCUGAAGGAAGAGGCUUGCGUUGGUGGAACCCUUGCUGAAGAUGCCACUAGGACUCCUGGCUUAAGAGACUACCAUGACUCCAUGUGGAGAUCAGGACUUGAGGGAGCCCUUGCCCAGUGGGUGAAGUGGAAGGGAAGGCGGUCUGGAUGGAUGGAAGGUCAGAAGAGGGACCCAGAGGCUGGGGAUCAGCACAUUGCCACUGGACGCAAAAGAGAUGUGCUUAAGGGAUGUGUACCAGAAAGUAGAACUGGAGGGAACCUGACCAAAUGCCCCUACUUCACCUUUUGUAAAUUAGAUAUUUGUGUUGGUAGAGCAAUCUGAUGAAGUUUUACUCUCUCAGGAUGAUUUCUUCUUACGAAGGUAAUACAGGAUUAACAAAGCCUGUCUUUUGGGAAUGGUGAAGCUAACGACAGAAAUAGAAAUAGUUCUGGACACUGAUGGGGGAAGGGAAAACUUGCUAGGCAUUUGCUGAAGUAAGAGAUUUAUCUGAGAUUUAAUCCAGAUUUAAUCUUGUUAUUGCCACUUAGAUGAGGUAUCGUGUCCCGUAACCAGAAGUUCAGUGUCAUGUCAGAUCUAAUUGAGGACAUCAAUGUGGCUAGAUUUCUCUUUCAUAACUUUAUCAUAACCUAUUACUGGCUGCAGGGAGAUCUGCACCCUUCCCAACCAGGGCACCAUCAGGGUUAGCUAGUAAAAGACUACAUUAACUAAUCUUGAAUGGAAACUGAAGUCCAAAUCCCAAAGGAAAUAAAUAAUAACUAACAUCCCAAAGCACAGGAACAAUGGUAAGAAGCUGUAAAAGGUUAAUUUAGGCUAAAGGUAAAGGGAAAUUCCCUAUAAGCAGUUGUUCAAAAGUGGAAUGCGCUUCCCUGUCUUCCCUGCGGGGCUUCCCCUCUUUGGGUACCUUGAAGAAGAGGCAAGGUAACCAAUAUUUAUUAAGCAUCUACAAUGUGUCAAAUGCUUGCUAAGCACGUUACAAAUGUUAUCUCAGUGAAUUCUUGCAACCACUCUGUGAUGUUCUCAUUUUAAGACUAAGAAAAUGGAGACAUUGAAAGGGUGUGACUUGCCCAGGGUCACUCACAUAGUAAGGCAUGGUCUGAGAAUAAAUUGUUUAAUUUAGGUCUCCCUGACUCCAGGGCCAUUUUUGUUGCAGAUGCCACUAUAUUAGAGUGAGACUCUUUUGUUAUAUGAGAGUUAGCCUAACUGACUACUAAAAUCCUUUUUAAUUUUCAAAUUCUGUGAAUCUAAUAAAAACAUGAUUUGUUUAAUAUAAAAAUAUAUUCUAUAAGCAAAUUUACUAUCUUGAUGAUUUUUUUAAGUCAAAAAUAAAGUUUAAAGGAGACAUGGCUUUAUGCUGCACUUUCUAUGACACUAAUCAAGCUUUAUUUUUAUUUUAUUUUAUUUUUAAACCCUUACCUUCCAUCUUGGAAUCAAUACCAUGUAUUGGUUUCAAGACAGAAGAGUGGUUAGGCAAUGGGGGUCAAGUGACUUGCCCAGGGUUACACAGCUGGGAAGUGCCUGAGGUCACAUUUGAACCUAGGACCUCCUGUCUCUAGAACUGGCUUUCAAUCUAUUGAGCCACCCAGCUGCCCCCUCAAGCUUUAUUCACAACACAACCAAAUCCUAUCUUUUAACACUGGGCCCUUUACUGACAAACAACUGUAGCUUAUAAGCCCAGCCUAUAAUAUAUUCAUUUCCCUAAACUAAGAAUCAUCAGAAAUUCAUGUAAAUGAUCAUGAAUGGAAGAACUAGGCAUGACCAAAAGAUCAUCUGAUUCCCUGUCUAGAUUUCGAGACUGUGCUUUCUCCAAAUGCCCAUAGAACACAGAAUGCAGCUGGUCUGGAUCAGUGACUUGGUUCAUAGAAAAGCAUCACUAAGGGGGACAUAAAGAGAGACCUUGAGACUUUGACCUCAUCAUUGCUUCUUAAACUACUUGACCCUCCCUCCACCCUCGCUCCCAUCCUUCAUCCUGCCUUCAUUCUUUCCUUCUUCCCUCUUUCCUUUCUACUUUCCUUCCUUCCUUUUUCCCUCCCUCCCUUCCUUCCUCCCUUUUGCAAAUGACAAAUUUUAAAUAGGUCAAUUAAACUUACAUUUAUAACCAAUUAAACAUUUAAAAGCUAAAGCAACUAGGAGGUGCAGUAGAGAGCCAGGCCUGAAGUCAAAAGUAUUAUUAGUUGUAUGACCCUGGGCAAGUCACUCAAACCUUUUGCCUCAGUUUCCUCAUCUAUAUAACUUUUAGAUUCAUUCAAUAACUAAAAAGAGUGGAAAUGAAACUAAAGAAAAUAUCAGUGGAAAAAACAUCCUGGCUUGAUAGAAACACUUCUAAUGAAGGGCUGUCUUUAGUAAAUAUAUUAUAAUAGCUAGAAUGGUUAUCUUAGAGAUCAUCUAGCCCCAAAGCUUCAUUUUACAGGUUAGUAAAUUAAAGCCCCAAAGAGGUAAAAUGACAGUGUAAUUUCACACACUGAAUAUUUUUUAAGAUUUAUUGUUGCUUCCUAUUUGUUUAUACCAGUCAUUUCCCCAUAAUCCCCCUAACCAAAUCCUCCCUUGAAAUAGAAAAAGAAAUCUUAACAAAAGUAGCAGACACACAGGAAGUGUCUAAUAAUAUAUCUCACAUUUCACAAACACUGUCUCUUACCUCUCUACUGAGAAAUGUUUCAUCAUCACCUCUCCGUGACCAAGAUCAGUCAUUCAAUUUAAUCAGUUUGAUUGUCUUCUAUUGUUGUUUUGAUUUAUAUUAUUACAACAAUUGCCAGUCAACAAGUAGCUAGACUAGGAUUGGAAGAAGCUCUUCAAUACCCAUAUCUAAUGUUUACUACGAGAAUCUAUAAAAAGAUGCUUUUAUAGUGAUUGAAAAUAGUUUAUUCUCUUAGAUUAAACACUUCCUCUAAAAUUUUGCGGAUAUUCUCUAAGUCCUUUCUUCAUAUGAAAUACAAGAAUCAGAUUUAGCCUAGCUGUGAGAUUUUAAAUUACAGUUUAAGACCUCAACCAUUUUAAAUCUCACAUAGCCCUGACCAAAUUGUUAAAUUCUGAACGUCAACUAAAUGUGUGAGGUUUUAUUGUAUUUAAUUUCAUAUAAAAAGAGUUAGGUGGGGCAGUCAAGGCCUAAAGUCAUGAAGAUUCAUCUUUAUGAGUUCAAAUCUGGACUAAUGCUUUUAUUAGCGGUUUGAUCCUAGGCAAGUCACCUAACUUUAUUUACCCUGAUUUUCUCUCCAUAAAAUGAUCUGGAGAAGAAAAUGGCAAAUCAUCACAGGAUCUUUGCUAAAAUAAUCCCAAAUGGAGUCACAAAAAGUUUGACAAAAUUGAAAAACUACCGAACAACAAAUCCUUCAUUUCCUUUCCCCCUUCCCUUUUCGGGAACUAGGGGGUGAGGUGGAUAGGGAACCAGGCCUGGAGUCAGGAAGAAUGUUCUUCCUGAGUUCAAAAUUGAACCCAGAUUCUUAUUAACUAUGGGACCCUAGGCAAGUCACUUAAUUUUGUUUCCUCAUCUGUAAAAUGAACUACAGAAGGAAAUGGCAAACCACUAAUCUCUGCCAAAAAAACAAAAAAAAUAACAAAAAACCCAAAUGGAGUCACAAAGACACAUCUGAACAACAACAAGAAAACAUAGAACAUUCAUCUGAUUUUCAACAUGGAAUUUGCAGAGCAUUGUGGGGUGUGGAUACUUACUUCGGACUU
Non-coding RNA from Monodelphis domestica (gray short-tailed opossum), 3781 nucleotides. Lineage: Eukaryota; Metazoa; Chordata; Mammalia; Didelphimorphia; Didelphidae. The record is from RefSeq and is a predicted model, not a curated record.